AUUGAACGCUGGCGGCAGGCCUAACACAUGCAAGUCGAACGAGUGGCGGACGGGUGAGUAAUGUCUGGGAAACUGCCUGAUGGAGGGGGAUAACUACUGGAAACGGUAGCUAAUACCGCAUACCAUCAGAUGUGACAAGAUGGGAUUAGCUGGUAGGUGGGGUAACGGAUCACCUAGGCGACGAUCCCUAGCUGGUCUGUGAGGAUGACCAGCCACACUGGAAUUGAGACACGGGCCAGACUCCUACGGGAGGCAGCAGUGGGGAAUAUUGCACAAUGGGCGCAAGCCUGAUGCAGCCAUGCCGCGUGUAUGAAGAAGGCCUUCGGGUUGUAAAGUACUUUCAGCGGGGAGGCGUUACCCGCAGAAGAAGCACCGGCUAACUCCGUGCCAGCAGCCGCGGUAAUUC
This 406-nucleotide ribosomal RNA is filed under the name uncultured bacterium. Its description in RNAcentral is "partial 16S ribosomal RNA". It matches the Rfam family "Bacterial small subunit ribosomal RNA", at positions 30 to 526 of the family's 1533-position model. The record is from RNAcentral.